GAGCGUCUUCUAGUUUCCAUGGGAACCUCGUCCCUGGAGUCCGGGCCGCGCAAGUCUGAGUUGGGGUAGGGUGUUGCUCCUGCGAAGGUGCACUGGAGCUAGGACCGGUCUGCAGACCAUUGAUGGGCAUAGUGGGGCGCUUGAGGGAGCGAGGCCAGUCCUGCCCUGCUUCACGGAACCAUCCCUCCCGUAUUCGUCCGGGCGUCCUGGCGUCCGCGGGCUCCUGGGGCCUCGGCGUUCUGAGGUGCAGGGGCUUGGGUCUGUCCGCGUCGGGCUUGGCUCGCGCCGGCGCAGCGCAACUGCCCCAGCGCCAGGGCUGGUCACCUCCUUCCGAGGGCCUGCGCGCCGACGGCAGGUACUCCUGAAGCGCGGGCCCGGGCGCGGGCGGCCGGCGGGGGUGGCUCGUGCCGCGUGCGCACGUGGAGGUAGCGUCCGGCAGGCGUCCAAGGCGCCUGGGGCUGGAACCCUCUCUGUGGUGGGUGGUCGCGGGACUCCCAGCCCCUCUGGGUUUCAGUGCCACUCCCGCGUUACCCGCCUCCCGGCAGGUAAAAUUGGACUUGGACCGAAAUCCUCAGAUCCAUUGCGAUGCUCUCGCAGAGCAGCCCCUGGCGCUGUGUGGCCCAGAGGAAAGAAAACUCCUUUAUCUUGCCGAGCCCAGGUUCACCUCUCUGUAAAAUAAGGGCUUGAAACAGAUGAACCCCAGGGUGUCUUCUAGUGGGCGAUACUUUACCCCAUGGUGGGUUCAUUGCUCCUCACUGAGCACCAUGUGCAAGAAGAAAGGGAACUAGGUUGGUUUGAGAAAGGAUCUCACCUUGGGACGCGGAGUCAGAGAAACUUGUGCUUGGUUGCUGUUACACCUCUUGAGACUCAUGAGGACAUGUGUGUAACAGGGGAUCAUGACAGUAGCACCUCUGGUUUUGAAGGAUUAAACUAGAUAAUGCACAUGCCUUUUUUUUUAUCCAGCAUUUGCAGAUAGUAAGCAUUAUCCCAAGUCUCGGAUUUCUAAUAUUCUUAAAGCAUCCACUAGCUCUUUUCCUAAUUUCUGAAGUCGUUUUCUUAUUUCUGGGCAAAUCCAUUCUUCUAGGCAGGAUGGUUUUUAUGGGCUGAUUCUGGUGGGGGAAGCUAGAGUCUUCUUUACCCACGUUUGGAUGUUCAAGGCCAGUGUAUCUGCUCCUUCAGUGGUAAUCUAGUUUUUAUCAUUACCACACCACAUAGUAUCUAGGGAGGACACAAGGCCCAACAACACAUAGUGGGGAAGAUUCUUUCCUUCCUUAAGAUUUGUAGAGCAUGUGAGCACUUACAUGUUAUGAAGCAAACUAUUUCCUGGGCACUUUUUGAGCACUUAUUAUGUACCUGGCACUAUUCAGGGGGUACUCUGAGGGAUACAAUGAUGUAUAAGAAAAUCUUUGCCCUCAAGAAACAUAAGUUCUUGUGGGGGAAAUCUGUUAUGUGUACAGACACACAUAAUUGAAGUUGAAAGUGAUGUAUCAUAAGAGAGGUACAGGUAGCCGGGCGCAAUAGUGCACGCCAGUAAUCUCAGUGAUUUGGGAGGCUGAAGCAGGAGGAUUGCAAGUUCAAAGCCAGCCUCAGCAACUUAGCGAGGCCCUAAGCAAUUUACCAAGAACUUGUCGCAAAAUAAAACAUAAAAAGGGCUGAGAAUGUGGCUCAAUGGUUAAAAACCCCUGGGUUCAAUCCCUGGUACAAAAUUGAAUAAAUAAAUAAGGGAGGUGGGAUACAGGUAACCAUGCUAUGGAGACUUAGAGACCAGAGACUUCUGCUGCGUGUGAGCCUCCUAAAGCAUGUGGAAAGUGUGCACAAACCAAGAAGUAGGGAAGAGAUAUUCUGCACACCCUUCCCACAGCUUUGAGGCACACAGAGGAGAAAUGUCUGUAGCCCUGACUAGAAGGUAGGGGUUAGGUUUUGGUCAGUGUUUUACCACUGCUUGACAUGUGGUUGGCACAUAGCACGUAACAAUGAAUUUAUAGAGGCUGUGAGUUUCCUAUAGAGAGGACCAGACUGGAGUGUUGGUAUUACCCUGGGCCUCUAAUUAGACUUACAUUCCUCUUACAGCCACUCCAGUAAGGGAAGAAUUCAAAUGGGCUAAUGAUUAUAGAGCAAGGGCCUGAUUUUUGUCAUGUUUAGUAUAAUACCAGCCCACUGAGAGCCCAGUGGACAAGGUUUCAAAGAGACAGGAAGGUCUGUGAGCCUCUUUUCCUGGAACUGAGGUGAGGAGUUGGAAGGAGAGGAAGCAGGGCCUAGGAUCAUGCAGCGGUCUUGAGGACCAGUUCAGAUAUUCCUUUGGCUCUUGUGCCCAUCUUUGGCUCUGUUUUUUUAUGGCUCACUUUCUCUCCUAUCGGUGACCCACCUGCUAGUGGGAAACUAGGACCACCAUGCCAGCAGAUUACUAAGGCCUGCAGGUGCUGCAAAGGAACAAAGUUGGCUUUAGCAACUCCAUCUUCAGGCUGAUUUCUGGGGCCUUGUCUUUAGUCCUUCCCAGAAGCUACCACUACAGUAAAUCCCUCAGAGACAGAUACCCAGUGACCCACAGGGACGAGGCCUACCUCAGGACUUAGAUGGAGGUGUCUCUUGAGGGCACAAGUUGAGAAGAUUGACAGGGAAUUGAUUCAAGGACAGGGCCUAUUUAACUCAUUAAAGGCCUUAAUCACCCAGGAAUCCUGUGUGGCUCAGCAGAUAGGGGGAGAGUAAGUAGGUACAACCAGAUAGGGGGUAAAGCACAACUGACCACUUUUUUUUUUUUUUUUUUGCUCUAGAUAUGGGAUGGCGCAGGACUCUAAGAGGCCCAAAGUGCUCCUUUUUCUGGAGACAGGAGCCAAGGUGAAUUUGUAUCCUCCUUGUGACAGCCUUUGCUCAUACUCAGAGCCCUGCUCUGCUAUUCAUCCUGCCUCUGCAGUUUGCUCCCACUCCACUGGCUGUAGGUG
RNAcentral lists this long non-coding RNA (2939 nucleotides) under Marmota monax (woodchuck). The record is from RNAcentral. Lineage: Eukaryota; Metazoa; Chordata; Mammalia; Rodentia; Sciuridae.